CGAAUGGCGUAAUGAUGGCCAGGCUGUCUCCACCCGAGACUCAGUGAAAUUGAACUCGCUGUGAAGAUGCAGUGUACCCGCGGCAAGACGGAAAGACCCCGUGAACCUUUACUAUAGCUUGACACUGAACAUUGAGCCUUGAUGUGUAGGAUAGGUGGGAGGCUUUGAAGUGUGGACGCCAGUCUGCAUGGAGCCGGCCUUGAAAUACCACCCUUUAAUGUUUGAUGUUCUAACGUGGACCCGUGAUCCGGGUUGCGGACAGUGUCUGGUGGGUAGUUUGACUGGGGCGGUCUCCUCCUAAAGAGUAACGGAGGAGCACGAAGGUUGGCUAAUCCUGGUCGGACAUCAGGAGGUUAGUGCAAUGGCAUAAGCCAGCUUGACUGCGAGCGUGACGGCGCGAGCAGGUGCGAAAGCAGGUCAUAGUGAUCCGGUGGUUCUGAAUGGAAGGGCCAUCGCUCAACGGAUAAAAGGUACUCCGGGGAUAACAGGCUGAUACCGCCCAAGAGUUCAUAUCGACGGCGGUGUUUGGCACCUCGAUGUCGGCUCAUCACAUCCUGGGGCUGAAGUAGGUCCCAAGGGUAUGGCUGUUCGCCAUUUAAAGUGGUACGCGAGCUGGGUUUAGAACGUCGUGAGACAGUUCGGUCCCUAUCUGCCGUGGGCGCUGGAGAACUGAGGGGGGCUGCUCCUAGUACGAGAGGACCGGAGUGGACGCAUCACUGGUGUUCGGGUUGUCAUGCCAAUGGCACUGCCCGGUAGCUAAAUGCGGAAGAGAUAAGUGCUGAAAGCAUCUAAGCACGAAACUUGCCCCGAGAUGAGUUCUCCCUGAGACUUUAGGUCUCCUGAAGGAACGUUGAAGACGACGACGUUGAUAGGCCGGGUGUGUAAGCGCAGCGAUGCGUUGAGCUAACCGGUACUAAUGAACCGUGAGGCUUAACCUU
This 938-nucleotide ribosomal RNA is filed under the name Salmonella enterica. RNAcentral describes it as "partial 23S ribosomal RNA". It matches the Rfam family "Bacterial large subunit ribosomal RNA", at positions 1993 to 2925 of the family's 2925-position model. Lineage: Bacteria; Pseudomonadati; Pseudomonadota; Gammaproteobacteria; Enterobacterales; Enterobacteriaceae. The record is from RNAcentral.